RNAcentral lists this microRNA precursor (85 nucleotides) under Xiphophorus maculatus (southern platyfish). Its description in RNAcentral is "mir-187 microRNA precursor family". It matches the Rfam family "mir-187 microRNA precursor family". The record is from Rfam by way of RNAcentral. Lineage: Eukaryota; Metazoa; Chordata; Actinopteri; Cyprinodontiformes; Poeciliidae.
UUGGCUGGGCCAGAGGCUGCAACACAGGACAUGGGUCCUGCCUCUUUCUACCACUCGUGUCUUGUGUUGCAGCCAGUGGAACUGC